UUUCAAUGAUUGAAACCCUUUACCGCAUUCCUUGCACACCUUUUCCUGCAGAAAGCUAUUGUUGCUUGAAUCCACCAUAAACCUCCUUGUUUUCUUGGGGUUUUCUCUAAGACCAUAACCAGAUUGGACAACAGCUUCGACCUCAGAAUCUCUCUUGCUAUUACUUCCAUUAGCAGCUGCAAAAGACUUGCUUGUGUUGAGCUUCAUUUCCUCUUCUUCAACAUCAAUUGAAUUCCCAUUCCCAUUGCCAUUGAAAUGGAUCCUAAUGUGACCACCCAACGACUUGCCACAAGGAAACCUCUUGUCGCAAAACUUACAAAUGAACAAUUUUUUCUUCGGUUCCAUGAUUAAUCUAACAGCAGAAAACAAAAAAUACCCAGUAAAGAAAGCAAGAUCAGUGACUCAUACCUUUCCUAGAGCUUUGAAAUAUGCAGCAUUUUCAUGAUUGAAAGAAGACCCA
Molecule: unclassified non-coding RNA, 460 nt
Filed under: Hevea brasiliensis (rubber tree)
Lineage: Eukaryota; Viridiplantae; Streptophyta; Magnoliopsida; Malpighiales; Euphorbiaceae
Source: RNAcentral